Molecule: long non-coding RNA, 1177 nt
Filed under: Triticum aestivum (bread wheat)
Lineage: Eukaryota; Viridiplantae; Streptophyta; Magnoliopsida; Poales; Poaceae
Description: long non-coding RNA (TAES_LNC019032)
Source: RNAcentral
UCAGGAACUCACUUUGGAUAUAACAUCAUGGGGACAAAAAACAUAUUACUGGAAAAUCAGGUUAAGCAGCACCCUAUCUUCUUUUUUCUCAUGCUAUAUGGGAUGCUUGGAACUUUAUUAUCAUUCUCUGAUGUCCUGCCAUUGUUUUCAAAUAUUGAUUGGGAUCAAAAUUCUUACUUGUCCUUUGUACAGAAGCAUAUGGGAGCCGCAUUUGAGAAAUGCUCUCAACUUUCGGUUGCAAAUAUUGAAAAGGCGAUAUACAAUCCAGUGACUUUUUGAAUCACAGUGAGGUCCUUUGAUCUUUGCGGUCUUCUUAGCUUUGAUUCAUGUUGCUACUAGCAAAAGAAAAAACUAUUUGUGUUAUAGUUUCCACUGAAAACUUGCACCCAUGUAGUUUAUUAUUGGUACCUGUUUUCUUCAUACAACUAGAUUUAUUUCACAUGCUUUCACAAGACAAUGUAACUAUUUUCUUGUAGCUGUUGGUUACAUGGAAUCAAGUGAAGACCUCGGUGAUUUUGCAGUAUGGAUGAAGCUGUAUAUACACACAAAAUUUGAAUUUCUUGCCUCGAAAUAUAUUUUUGCAGCAUGUAUUAAACAUGGUGUGUCCAAACAUAGACGAUAAAUGAAAACAUGUCUUUUGCUUUGACGUUUCGGUGUGCAGUAACAGUUUCAAAUAGGAUAUACUUGUUUUAUUAUGAUCUCUACACAAUAUUAUUAGCUUGAAAAUUGAAUAUGGGCAUUUUUUAUUUUACACAUACAAUAAAAUUUUGUACAGUAUUUGAUACAUGCAUUUGCACGUACACGAUUACUAAAUCUUGGCAUUUUCUUCUAAGUACGAAAUCUGUUACAGAGUACUAAGUCUUGAUAUUUUGUUUGCCACCUAAGGAGAAAAAUGCCACUCCAGGUGAUUAUGAUACGCGAUUUUAGUGGUGUUUAUUGUUUCGUCGCAUGUAAAAGUGAUGUGGUGUCUUGCACAGACCUGCUGAAGUUUGUCUUCUAAUAGCUGAUACAUGCCUUCUAUAUUAGUAUAUUUUAUGCUUUAUUUAAGGUUUAAUUUUCAAUAUAUUACAGGUACACUUUUGAGUAUAUGAUAGUCCAUAUAGAGAGUUGCUUCCUUAAUCGAAGUAGGUGAAAAAAAUGUCCAGACCAGGAUUAUUUCAUUCUAGAAAAGGAAAAG